GACUGAGAGGGACCAGACAUCAAUCCAUGCUCUCCAAAUCUUUCUGAACAAGUCUCUCAUAUUUCAAACUUGUGUAGGGCAUCUGCAGAUGGAAAUAUGUGUAACAGAAGGUCAGCACUUACUGGCUGCAUCUUUCUCUUACAACUGCAGUGCCAAGAGGAACCAAUGAAGACUGAAGCCCUAUUGUACGAGGCACUAUGCAACAUAAGAAGAGACAGCCCCCACUUUGAAAAACUUACCAUCUUGUAACCUUCAUCCAUCCAACUGGAAGUAGGUUCAUUAACCAUCUACACAGAUGCAUCUCCCCCCCUCCUCAGCUAAGCCAACUUCAGCAAACAUUCUUCAGUAAAGUUAAGAAUGGAAACUAAGUUUAAUGAUCGCAUAAUCAAGGAGACAGAUUGGACAUCUCAGAUGUGCAUAGUCAGCAUUUAUAUUCUGCUCUGAAUAAUUUAAUUUGAGAAGUGGACACGGCCCAAUGUAAUAUAUUUACAAUGGGGUAAAGCUGCUUUAAUGCACACCUAUAAAUAAUCCUUUUCAUAGUUUUUGUUUGUUUGUUUUUUGCUGCCCUUAGGUGAACUAGCAGAAAAAGUGAAAUGAGAAUUCUUUAAAGUAAAAUCUCUAACGCUCACCAGCAUGUUUUUUCAGUAGUGAGCUGCAGAUGCAACUAAUAUUUAACUGGCUAGCUCCCAAAAGAUGUGGCCAGUUCACUGCAUUAAUCAAAAGCUAUCCUUUGCUUCCUGACAUGUAUAUUUAGAGUGUGCUAUGCUGCUGCAUGAAGUCCUGAUUCUCAUCUACCCAGCAAAAGUGAUCUUCUGCAUACAGGGGUCAAGUCACAUCUGACAACCACUUUGCGAUAAAUGAAUGUUUCCUAUAAUCUGGCUUUUAGAAAAUGUUUCCCCCCCACCAUAAAUGUAGGUUAAAGAAGACUAUUUAAAGUUUGUUUAAAUCUCUUCAAGGUCAUUAGAAAAGCCUGAGUCAACAUGACUGCUCCCUAGUAGUUCUCUCUUCUACUUGAAUGUGUUCUCCAAAGAUUGUAGAGCAUAACACACAUUAGAAAAGUGCCUUCAAAAGCAAAAGUCCAAGCAAAACCAGAGUUGUGCACUAUAAACCAUACUUUGUGUGUGUCUCUACUGAAAGUAGGGGGGGUGUCAAUCUACAUUUUCAAUAGGGAAAAUCUCUAGCGUAUCAUUUUAACUAACAUCUUUGGGCAUGUGCAUAUGGGUAUAUCUUAUGAGGAGAACAAGUGGGCAGAGGCAAGGAGGAGAAGAAAGGCUAGCACUGACGGCAACUAUUUCUUUUUUUGAACAGGACCAGUCCUAUUCAACAUAUUCAUAAAUAGUCUGGAAAAAGGGGUAAACUGU
Molecule: long non-coding RNA, 1361 nt
Organism: Chrysemys picta bellii (western painted turtle)
Lineage: Eukaryota; Metazoa; Chordata; Testudines; Emydidae
Source: RefSeq, a predicted model, not a curated record